This 858-nucleotide ribosomal RNA is filed under the name Triticum aestivum (bread wheat). RNAcentral's name for it is "partial small subunit ribosomal RNA". The record is from RNAcentral. Lineage: Eukaryota; Viridiplantae; Streptophyta; Magnoliopsida; Poales; Poaceae.
AUGGAGAAACCGUCUGCAAUAUCAGAGCACCUUAACGUAGUUGAAGUCAAGUGUGAUGUGGUCGACGAGAGAAUUCUCAAAGUUCUGAAGUUCCUGUGUGCAUUUAACAUACCAGCAACUCUGUCUCUGUGGCAGGGUGAAGAGCAAGGUCUGCAGCGCCGGCCCAUCACGCUUGAGGGUUGCCAGGCCAUGUGCGGCCACAUCACAUCAGCAUCCCCCUUCCCAUUCGGCAUGGAUCCAGGCUGCAACAACUCGUUCGACCCCCCUCGUCUCUUCCUUUUCUACAACCGGACCCGGACAGGACUACGAACCUCAUUCAGCGAGAUGGGCGAGGCGGUGUACUCGACGCCGACACCGAUCAUGUCGCCCCCGGAGCUGAAGAAGAGGUGGGAAGUGCCCGUGGAGCUCAUGGACAUAUCCAUUGCCAAGAGCGAGGCACGGGCUUACGGAUUGAAGCGCAAUUUUCUCAUCGGCGUCGGCAGGGACGUCAGAGCUAGGAUGAGCAACUACUUGCUGGGCUCCGCAAGCCCUCAUACGACAUGCUAUUCAAGCAUCGGGUCCACGCUACAGCUGCUCAAUCAAGCCUUCACAUGUUUUAAUCCUUUUCUUCCAGACAUCAACGAGUGCGAGCUCCGAGAACAAAAUCCUGAUCUCCGUGAUUUCUAUCCUUGCGACGGGAUCUGUAAGAAAAGGCUGGGAGGCUAUGACUGUCAAUGCAAACCCGGAAUGAAAGGGGACGCCAUAAAAGGAACCUGCACGGAGAAACUCCCCCUAGCAGCAAAAGUGACUGUGGAGGAUGCACAAAACCAUGAUGGUUUACCAAAUGCGGAACACAAGAGGUGGCCAGCAUCGGCGUAA